GAUGAACGCUAGCUACAGGCUUAACACAUGCAAGUCGAGGGGAAACGACAUCGAAAGCUUGCUUUUGAUGGGCGUCGACCGGCGCACGGGUGAGUAACGCGUAUCCAACCUGCCCACCACUUGGGGAUAACCUUGCGAAAGUAAGACUAAUACCCAAUGAUAUCCCACGAAGGCAUCCGAAUGGGAUUAAAGAUUUAUCGGUGAUGGAUGGGGAUGCGUCUGAUUAGCUUGUUGGCGGGGUAACGGCCCACCAAGGCAACGAUCGAGUAGGGGUUCUGAGAGGAAGGUCCCCCACAUUGGAACUGAGACACGGUCCAAACUCCUACGGGAGGCAGCAGUGAGGAAUAUUGGUCAAUGGACGGGAGUCUGAACCAGCCAAGUAGCGUGCAGGAUGACGGCCCUAUGGGUUGUAAACUGCUUUUGUGCGGGGAUAAAGUGUGGGACGUGUCCCAUAUUGCAGGUACCGCAUGAAUAAGGACCGGCUAAUUCCGUGCCAGCAG
RNAcentral lists this ribosomal RNA (500 nucleotides) under uncultured bacterium. RNAcentral's name for it is "bacterial SSU rRNA". It matches the Rfam family "Bacterial small subunit ribosomal RNA", at positions 28 to 514 of the family's 1533-position model. The record is from RNAcentral.